GCGCAGGUGGCGAAAUUGGUAGACGCACUACCUUGAGGUGGUAGCGCUUUCAUGAAUUUAUGAAAUGAAAUAUCAACAACCUGUACUGAAUCUGUAAGAUUCAAAUCCUCUCCUGCGCA
Molecule: transfer RNA, 119 nt
Filed under: Candidatus Lloydbacteria bacterium
Lineage: Bacteria; Candidatus Lloydiibacteriota
Description: tRNA-Leu
Source: RNAcentral